CCCCAAACAACCCAGCAACCCUAUACAUGGGGGGUAUCACUGUACUCGGGAGAUGUUGCUGAACAUAUUGGGGUGUUGUUUGGCAGUGACACAUAACAGGAUCUGUUAAUUCAUGCCUAAAGUACGUGUGUGAAAAAAACUGAAAAAAAAUUACUACCUCGAUGUUUGACAAAGCCUGGUGGUAGAAUUAGUGCAUGGAAAGUGUUAAAAUACCACCAUGUAAAAUACCCUAGGGUGUCUACUUUUCAAAAAUAUAUGGUUUGAUGGGGGUAAAAUACAUUGGCCGGCUUCAAAAAUGUAAAUGCAAUGUCACUACUGAUACAGUUGAAAAAUUUACAUUUUGAAACCGCAAUUUCCUACUUGUACUUAUAGCCCUCUAACUUGCAAAUAAAAGCAAAAAAAACAAACAUUGGGUGUUUUUUAACUCAGGACAACAUUUUGAAUCUAUUUAGCAGUUUGUUUCAUUCGAUUUUGUAG
Non-coding RNA from Pelobates cultripes (western spadefoot toad), 477 nucleotides. Lineage: Eukaryota; Metazoa; Chordata; Amphibia; Anura; Pelobatidae. The record is from the annotation of a GenBank genome assembly.